CGUUCCCGUUCCCUCCCCGAAAAGUAACCCCACUUUAGAUGAGCUCUGCAAGUGCAUCUAAAAGCAGCAGUGAACCGGAAUCGUCUCCCACGCGCCGCCUCUGAUCUGGCCAUGUUAUCGCGCGGUGGGUCCCACCUGGGCUCUUAUACCAUCCUUCAAAAUCCGAUCCUCUAGUAUUUUGAUCGCCGAACACCAGCAAAAACAUGGCCCAAAACUGCAAGGAAGAGCCAAAGACCGCUCCCCAAUCCGAUCGGUGGUACAAUCUAACCUUAGGCCCUUCCUUUAAAGAAGACGCCUCUAAUAAUAAGUACUGCACUCUGCGGUAU
RNAcentral lists this unclassified non-coding RNA (326 nucleotides) under Hevea brasiliensis (rubber tree). Lineage: Eukaryota; Viridiplantae; Streptophyta; Magnoliopsida; Malpighiales; Euphorbiaceae. The record is from RNAcentral.